GACGAACGCUGGCGGCGUGCUUAACACAUGCAAGUCGAACGGAAAGGCCCUGCUUUUGUGGGGUGCUUGAGUGGCGAACGGGUGAGUAACACGUGAGUAACAUGCCCUUGACUUUGGGAUAACUUCAGGAAACUGGGGCUAAUACCGGAUAGGAGCUCCUGCUGCAUGGUGGGGGUUGGAAAGUUUCGGCGGUUGGGGAUGGACUCGCGGCUUAUCAGCUUGUUGGUGGGGUAGUGGCUUACCAAGGCUUUGACGGGUAGCCGGCCUGAGAGGGUGACCGGCCACAUUGGGACUGAGAUACGGCCCAGAAGCCUACGGGAGGCAGCAGUGGGGAAUAUUGCACAAUGGGCGGAAGCCUGUUGCAGCAACGCCGCGUGCGGGAUGACGGCCUUCGGGUUGUAAACCGCUUUCGCCUGUGACGAAGCGUGAGUGACGGUAAUGGGUAAAGAAGCACCGGCUAACUACGUG
Molecule: ribosomal RNA, 468 nt
Filed under: uncultured bacterium
Lineage: Bacteria
Description: partial 16S ribosomal RNA
Rfam family: Bacterial small subunit ribosomal RNA
Source: RNAcentral